CCUACGGGAGGCAGCAGUAGGGAAUCUUUCACAAUGGGCGAAAGCCUGAUGGAGCAACGCCGCGUGCAGGAUGAAGGCCUUCGGGUUGUAAACUGCUUUUAUAAGCGAGAAAUAUGAUGGUAACUUAUGAAUAAGGAUCGGCUAACUACGUGCCAGCAGCCGCGGUCAUACGUAGGAUCCGAGCAUUAUCCGGAGUGACUGGGUGUAAAGAGUUGCGUAGGUGGCAUAAUAAGUAGCUAGUGAAAUCUGGUGGCUCAACCAUUCAGACUAUUAGCUAAACUGUUAAUCUCGAGACCGUUAGGGGUAACUGGAAUUUCUAGUGUAGGAGUGAAAUCCGUAGAUAUUAGAAGGAACACCAAUAGCGUAGGCAGGUUGCUGGGACGGUUCUGACACUAAGGCACGAAAGCGUAGGGAGCAAACGGGAUUAGAUACCCCUGUAGUC
RNAcentral lists this ribosomal RNA (442 nucleotides) under uncultured bacterium. RNAcentral's name for it is "partial 16S ribosomal RNA". It matches the Rfam family "Bacterial small subunit ribosomal RNA", at positions 338 to 795 of the family's 1533-position model. The record is from RNAcentral.